UACGUAGGGGGCAAGCGUUGUCCGGAAUCAUUGGGCGUAAAGCGCGUGUAGGCGGGUCGGUAAGUCCGCUCUGAAAGCCCGGGGCUCAACCCCGGGAGGCGGGUGGAUACUGUCGACCUCGAGUCCGGAAGAGGCGAGUGGAAUUCCUGGUGUAGCGGUGAAAUGCGCAGAUAUCAGGAAGAACACCAACGGCGAAGGCAGCUCGCUGGGACGGUACUGACGCUGAGACGCGAAAGCGUGGGGAGCGAACAGG
RNAcentral lists this ribosomal RNA (253 nucleotides) under uncultured bacterium. RNAcentral describes it as "partial 16S ribosomal RNA". It matches the Rfam family "Bacterial small subunit ribosomal RNA", at positions 524 to 776 of the family's 1533-position model. The record is from RNAcentral.